Molecule: ribosomal RNA, 490 nt
Filed under: uncultured Bacillota bacterium
Lineage: Bacteria; Bacillati; Bacillota
Description: bacterial SSU rRNA
Rfam family: Bacterial small subunit ribosomal RNA
Source: RNAcentral
UAGGGAAUCUUCCACAAUGGACGAAAGUCUGAUGGAGCAACGCCGCGUGAGUGAAGAAGGUUUUCGGAUCGUAAAACUCUGUUGUAAGGGAAGAACACGUACGAGAGUAACUGCUCGUACCUUGACGGUACCUUAUUAGAAAGCCACGGCUAACUACGUGCCAGCAGCCGCGGUAAUACGUAGGUGGCAAGCGUUGUCCGGAAUUAUUGGGCGUAAAGCGCGCGCAGGCGGUUCUUUAAGUCUGAUGUGAAAGCCCACGGCUCAACCGUGGAGGGUCAUUGGAAACUGGAGAACUUGAGUACAGAAGAGGAAAGCGGAAUUCCACGUGUAGCGGUGAAAUGCGUAGAGAUGUGGAGGAACACCAGUGGCGAAGGCGGCUUUCUGGUCUGUAACUGACGCUGAGGCGCGAAAGCGUGGGGAGCAAACAGGAUUAGAUACCCUGGUAGUCCACGCCGUAAACGAUGAGUGCUAAGUGUUAGGGGGUUUCCGU